RNAcentral lists this transfer RNA (73 nucleotides) under Stegodyphus mimosarum. It matches the Rfam family "tRNA". Rfam says of the family: Transfer RNA (tRNA) molecules are approximately 80 nucleotides in length. Their secondary structure includes four short double-helical elements and three loops (D, anti-codon, and T loops). Lineage: Eukaryota; Metazoa; Arthropoda; Arachnida; Araneae; Eresidae. The record is from Rfam by way of RNAcentral.
GCUUUUGUGGUGUAAUGGUCAGCACGCUCGGCGCGUAUUCGAGAGGUCCGUGGUUCGAGUCCCGGCGAGGCCA